This 303-nucleotide unclassified non-coding RNA is filed under the name Hevea brasiliensis (rubber tree). Lineage: Eukaryota; Viridiplantae; Streptophyta; Magnoliopsida; Malpighiales; Euphorbiaceae. The record is from RNAcentral.
GAGAGAACUAAGGAAAACCUAACCAACUAAAACAUAAAGCUUCCAAAUUUAAGACUUUUACACCAGUUUCUCAUCAGCCAAACAGACGGAGCAAAGAAGAGCGAAUAAAUAAACAAAUAAAAUCAAGAGUCAAAUUUCAGAUCCCGGAGAUCAGAAACUGAACGGAAUAAAAAAAAAAUUAAAUAAAGAAAGAAGAGAAAAGCAUUCUGAAUUAUUUUCAGUGGAACAUAGACAUAUUUCCUCUUCCUCUACCCCAUUUUCUUAUAAACAAAGAGUAAAGUUAGAGUAGAAAGCAAAAAUGAA